RNAcentral lists this ribosomal RNA (561 nucleotides) under uncultured bacterium. RNAcentral's name for it is "bacterial SSU rRNA". It matches the Rfam family "Bacterial small subunit ribosomal RNA", at positions 152 to 708 of the family's 1533-position model. The record is from RNAcentral.
CGAAAGGUUGGCUAAUACCGCAUACGCCCUACGGGGGAAAGCUAGGGACCUUCGGGCCUGGCGUUAAUGGAGCGGCCGAUAUCUGAUUAGCUAGUUGGUGAGGUAAAGGCUCACCAAGGCGACGAUCAGUAGCUGGUCUGAGAGGACGACCAGCCACACUGGAACUGAGACACGGUCCAGACUCCUACGGGAGGCAGCAGUGGGGAAUUUUGGACAGUGGGCGAAAGCCUGAUCCNNCNAUUCCGCGUGAGUGAAGAAGGCCNNNGGGUUGUAAAGCUCUUUCGCAAGGGAAGAAAGAUUACUCUCUAACAUAGAGUGAUUAUGACGGUACCUUGAUAAGAAGCACCGGCUAACUACGUGCCAGCAGCCGCGGUAAUACGUAGGGUGCGAGCGUUAAUCGGAAUUACUGGGCGUAAAGCGUGCGCAGGCGGUUUUGUAAGUCAGAUGUGAAAUCCCCGAGCUCGACUUGGGAACUGCGUUUGAAACUACAAGACUAGAAUAUGUCAGAGGGGGGUAGAAUUCCACGUGUAGCAGUGAAAUGCGUACAGAUGUGGAGGAAUA